Small nuclear RNA from Diceros bicornis minor, 103 nucleotides. NCBI's taxonomy places the organism in Eukaryota, Metazoa, Chordata, Mammalia, Perissodactyla, Rhinocerotidae. The record is from RefSeq and is a predicted model, not a curated record.
GUGCUCACUUCAGCAGCACAUAUACUAAAAUUGAAAUGAUACAGAGAUUAGCAUGGACCCCGUGCAAGGAUACAUGCAAAUUCAUGAAGUAUUCCAUAUGUUU